Molecule: ribosomal RNA, 402 nt
Filed under: uncultured bacterium
Lineage: Bacteria
Description: bacterial SSU rRNA
Rfam family: Bacterial small subunit ribosomal RNA
Source: RNAcentral
UCGGGAAUUUUGGGCAAUGGGGGAAACCCUGACCCAGCAACGCCGCGUGAAGGAUGAAGUAUUUCGGUAUGUAAACUUCGAAAGAAUAGGAAGAAUUAAUGACGGUACUAUUUAUAAGGUCCGGCUAACUACGUGCCAGCAGCCGCGGUAAUACGUAGGGACCAAGCGUUGUUCGGAUUUACUGGGCGUAAAGGGCGCGUAGGCGGCAUGGCAAGUCACUUGUGAAAUCUCCGAGCUUAACUCGGAACGGCCAAGUGAUACUGCCGCGCUAGAGUGCGGAAGGGGCAAUCGGAAUUCUUGGUGUAGCGGUGAAAUGCUUAGAUAUCAAGAGGAACACCUGAGGUGAAGACGGGUUGCUGGGCCGACACUGACGCUGAGGCGCGAAAGCCAGGGGGAGCAAAC